GUGCUCACUUCUGCAGCACAUAUACAAAAAUUGGAACAACACAGAGAAGAUUAGCAUGGCCCUUGCACAAAGAUGACAUGCAGGUACGUAAAGCAUUUCAUAUAAUA
Pongo pygmaeus (Bornean orangutan) is the source of this 107-nucleotide small nuclear RNA. Lineage: Eukaryota; Metazoa; Chordata; Mammalia; Primates; Hominidae. The record is from RefSeq and is a predicted model, not a curated record.